This 301-nucleotide ribosomal RNA is filed under the name uncultured bacterium. RNAcentral's name for it is "partial 16S ribosomal RNA". It matches the Rfam family "Bacterial small subunit ribosomal RNA", at positions 509 to 808 of the family's 1533-position model. The record is from RNAcentral.
CAGUAGCCGCGGUAAUACGAAGGGGGCUAGCGUUGUUCGGAUUUACUGGGCGUAAAGCGCACGUAGGCGGACUUUUAAGUCAGGGGUGAAAUCCCGGGGCUCAACCCCGGAACUGCCUUUGAUACUGGAAGUCUUGAGUAUGGUAGAGGUGAGUGGAAUUCCGAGUGUAGAGGUGAAAUUCGUAGAUAUUCGGAGGAACACCAGUGGCGAAGGCGGCUCACUGGACCAUUACUGACGCUGAGGUGCGAAAGCGUGAGGAGCAAACAGGAUUAGAUACCCCUGUAGUCCCUGUCUCUUUACA